This is a long non-coding RNA of Polypterus senegalus (gray bichir), 197 nucleotides long. RefSeq lists it as uncharacterized. The record is from RefSeq and is a predicted model, not a curated record. NCBI's taxonomy places the organism in Eukaryota, Metazoa, Chordata, Cladistia, Polypteriformes, Polypteridae. The transcript has 3 exons.
AUGUCAUAUCCCAAGAACCCGUGUCUGAGCACCGAGAUAUUGACGAAGGUCAAAUAUUUGAUGAAGACACUGUGUCCGAUUAUUCGUCAGGAGGAGGGGAGCCUGUAGCCAGCACACAUGUCCCUUUUGGAACAAAGUCCACAUCAAAAAAAGGAGAUGGUGAGAAAAAUGUGAGGGCUCUAUACAAGAGAUAUCUU